Molecule: ribosomal RNA, 300 nt
Filed under: uncultured Methanocaldococcus sp.
Lineage: Archaea; Methanobacteriati; Methanobacteriota; Methanococci; Methanococcales; Methanocaldococcaceae
Description: partial 16S ribosomal RNA
Rfam family: Bacterial small subunit ribosomal RNA (bases 53-300)
Source: RNAcentral
GAAAACAAGAGGAGGGCGGACGGGGGAGUAGGUAGGGUGGGGGGGUUAAUGUGAAUUACUGGGGUGAAAGCGUGGGCAGGCGGUUGUUUAAGACAGCUGUUAAAUCCCCGGGCUCAACCUGGGAACUGCGGUUGUGACUGCACGGCUAGAGGACGGCAGAGGGGGGUGGAAUGCCUGGGGUAGCAGUGAAAUGCGUAGAGAUCAGGAGGAACAUCGAUGGCGAAGGCAGCCCCCUGGGCCGCUACUGACGCUCAUGCACGAAAGCGUGGGGAGCAAACAGGAUUAGAUACCCCUGUAGUC